AUUGAACGCUGGCGGCAUGCUUUACACAUGCAAGUCGAACGGCAGCGGGGGCUUCGGCCCGCCGGCGAGUGGCGAACGGGUGAGUAAUGCAUCGGAACGUGCCCAGUCGUGGGGGAUAACACAUCGAAAGAUGUGCUAAUACCGCAUACGUCCUGAGGGAGAAAGCGGGGGAUCUUCGGACCUCGCGCGAUUGGAGCGGCCGAUGUCGGAUUAGCUAGUUGGUGGGGUAAAAGCCCACCAAGGCGACAAUCCGUAGCGGGUCUGAGAGGAUGAUCCGCCACACUGGGACUGAGACACGGCCCAGACUCCUACGGGAGGCAGCAGUGAGGAAUAUUGGUCAAUGGGCGAGAGCCUGAACCAGCCAAGUCGCGUGCAGGAAGAAUGUCCUAUGGAUUGUAAACUGCUUUUGCAGGGGAAUAAAGUGAGCCACGUGUGGUUUUUGUAUGUACUCUGCGAAUAAGGAUCGGCUAACUCCGUGCC
Molecule: ribosomal RNA, 480 nt
Filed under: uncultured bacterium
Lineage: Bacteria
Description: bacterial SSU rRNA
Rfam family: Bacterial small subunit ribosomal RNA
Source: RNAcentral